CCACACUCAAAUCCUUAAAUAAGCAAAUCAAAUCAUCAUAAUAUGCACUUUACAAUAAGUCCUACAGUUAACGUUUUCACCAGAGUUGAAUCCACCGGCACACCAACAGGUCCUGUUGUCGGAGCCAGUAACACUUAUCUUCAAGGAGUGUCAGAGUCAAGAAGAAAUGCUAGGAGCAUAUCUAUUCAUGCAAAUACCCACAGGAAUUGGCCGGUUGGUGUAACUUGUGAAGACUUAUAUUGAUACCAUGAAGCAAAGACUGCACUCAGCACUUUAUCCAGCUAAACACUUUAAUUGGUGGCGGGACUUGUUACUGGUUACAGUGCCUACUGUGAACACGGCUUGUUCUUGGAUUUUUCUAUGAUUUUAGUACUGCCCCAGGAGAAUUACCCAUAUUGCAAGUUUGUAUGCCGAGGUACUUGUAGAGACUCGGCACACACUACUCCACGAAGAUAAGCUUCACUGGCUCCAAUGAUAGGACCUUGUCCCAGAAUCCCAUCCCAACAUGGACAUAGAGGACAAAAAAGGGACUAUUGUCACUAUGGGAAGGGGUUAUUAAGACCCCCGAGAUGCUUAU
This is a non-coding RNA of Pelobates cultripes (western spadefoot toad), 577 nucleotides long. The record is from the annotation of a GenBank genome assembly. Lineage: Eukaryota; Metazoa; Chordata; Amphibia; Anura; Pelobatidae.